This 3423-nucleotide long non-coding RNA is filed under the name Mus pahari (shrew mouse). Its description in RNAcentral is "predicted gene, 26984 (MGP_PahariEiJ_G0032977.1)". Lineage: Eukaryota; Metazoa; Chordata; Mammalia; Rodentia; Muridae. The record is from RNAcentral.
AAAAGGUUUAAAUCAUGAAGUAGAUAUUCUAUUGUCUUAGUUGAUAUUCUAUUGCUGUGAAGAGACACCAUGACCACGGCAACUCUUAUAAAGGAAAGCAUUUAAGCUGGGCUGGUUUACUGUUCAGACAUUCAGUCCGUUAUCAUGAUGGCAGGAAGCAUGGCAGACGUGGUGCUGGAUAAGUAAUGGAGAGUUCCACAUCCACAGGCAGCAGGAAGAACGGGACACUGGGCCUGGCUUGAGCAUCUAAAGCCACAAAGCCUACCCGCAGUGACACCCUUCCUCCAACAAGGUCACACCUCUCAAUCCCUGUCGCCACUCCCUAAUGAACAAACAUUCAAAUAGUGUGAGCCUCUGGGGGACACUCCUAUCCAAACAACCACAGAAUUUUCCCAUACGUUAGCAAGUUCAGCUCGCCCUGGUCAGCACCGGGCAUGCUUGCCUCUCUCCAGGUGAGCUUCGUGAAUGCAUUCUCAACAUCCGCCAUGUCCAAGGUGGUCUCGGUAUGAUUUAGUCGACUCUAUGAUUAAGUCAUAAAUAAUUAGUGACUUCUUGGACUUAGAGGCUCUGCCCCUGAAACAUACUACCAAGAAAACAUCCUGGCGCUUCUCCCUGAUUAUGGACAUCUUGAUUUCGUUUUGGUGUACUAAUACAGAUGUGCACACGAAAGAAAUAGAUGGAGUUAGUAUAAACACACUACAGUAACCAACACUGCACAGCCUGGAACAGACUGGUCCUGAAGAGGGCUGAGGCCGAUGCUAAAGCAGGUAGGGGUAGCAUGUUCUUACUCUGUCAGUCCUCUGGGUUUGAGACUUUAUUUCCAAAGUCACAUCAGAAAAAUGUGGACUUGAUUGACACAUACGUAGGAUAGUGAGGAGUUCAGCCAGGACAUAUAUUCAACAGUAUUCAUCAAUCAGAUUGGCCUCUAAGAGGAUGUGCUGGUACCUCAUAGCCCUCAAUGAUCAAGCAUCUGCCAUGAGCUACCUCCUCCUGCUUGCAAAGACCAUCUCCCAAACAAAACACCCGUGUUUCUGCUCAUGCCAGUCUAGGUGGGCUCCUGGAGGGCUGUCUGUGUACUCUAGAUGGCCUCGUUACAAUGUGGAUGACACACCAGCAGCUAAUCUAGGUUCUUCCCUCUGUGAGCCUCUGAUAUGAGAGUCGAAAAGUGCAGAGAAUCAAGCAAAUGGCCUAUCUAAGGGGAUGCUGACAUGGGAGUGGCCUCUGAAAAUUGUUGUGGCCAUGAAUUGUUGGAACGCUUUCCAGGAAAAGUUUUUAAUUAAGAAAAAGUGGACCGGAGCCCAACCACUCCUCGGAACCAGUGGGAGCUCUUCCAGGAAAAGACCUUAGUCCAGGAGAGGUCAGCCAGUCAGUCCAGGACAGCAGCAACCAGCACUCCGAUCUGCUCAUGUUGCUCGAAAUGAAAUAUCCACUAUUUCCAGGAAGGCACCAGAGCUUGAGAGACACCACGAGACAGGGUUGCGAUCAGCACCGUCCAGAAAGGCAUCUGGUUAGAAGAAAGUGAUUUUGAAUGGAUUUAUAUCACCUCCCUUGACCAGGACUGGAGGAUAGAGGGCUCCAACCCCCUCUCCUCCUCCAAACACCCAGGUGAUACCUCCGCCUAUAGGAUUGAAGACAGCGUGGCCGCGCUCCCAACUCCAUACCUUCUCUUGCCAAGGGAAAGACUUUAAGUCCUUGCACUGUUCCUUGCCCUGAGUGGGACAUUUAAACAAGGCAGCAGUUGGUUCCAUUUUGAGUACGGAAGCAGAGGCAGGCUUCCCCUGCCUCAGGGUUCUGGUCUGAAUAGGAAUUGAACUCCUUAGGCUCAAGCGCUUAAACAAUUGGUGUCCAGCGGGUGGCGCUGUGGUGGAAGGUUAUGGAGCUUGAGGAGCUGGCGUUUCACUGGAGGAAAUGGAUGGCUGGGAUUUUGUAGCCCGUUUCCUGUUCUGCCUCAGCUCUCCUUGACUGAAGAUACAGCUGACAAGCUACCUCCUGCUUCUCCUACCCUGCCUUCCCUGACUUGAGGGGCUGUAUUCCCUCAAACUGCAAGCCAGGUUAAACCCGCCCUCUGCUAAGUUGUUCCUUGUCGGGUGUUUUGUCACAGCACUGAGAACGAAGCUAACUAAUCCUAUCAGGUCUGUGUGCAUACACACCACUGCCUGCCCAUCACAAGCCGUGAGACACUGACUGAUGAGCAACUUACUUCUGCAAGUGAAAGAACGCCACCUAUCUAUCGCCUUAUCUAAGUUGUUUGGGGAUUUGUGGGGGCGUGGUGUAUUCAGACCACAGCCUAGACCGGUGAACUUCCUGAAGCACCAGACCAGCAGAGAGUGAGACAGCCUCAGCUAAACCUGUCGUCUGACCACCUGUGCUAGGCCAAGGGACCCACACACAGGGAACUCCCAGCUGUCCCAAGGACAUCAGCUCAGCACAGUCACCAGUAGGUGACAAGAUUCAUUCAGGUUGCCGCCCAUCCAUCCUUCCAAAUCUAGCGUUUCGCCUCCUCGGUCCUAUACCUCGGCCGUUCAGCAUUGUCGCUGCGCCUGCCUUCAGCAAAUCUCCAACUGUAUUUCCUAAUGUUUCAUCUAACCAUCUCUAUCAGGUCUGUCUCUGCCUUCAGUAAAGCCCUCAUGAAUUACAGCCUCCUUAACCUACCUCUUUUACAAUCCUGUAACGGCGUGUGUGUGUGUGUGUGUGUGUGUGUGUGUGUGUGUGUGUGUGUGUGUUGUGAGUUGGGGGUUUACCUAAGUGUUAAUAUUGGUAGUAGAAAAACCUGUGAUUGCCGGAGCUAUGCUGUAGAGCAGUGGUUCUCAACCUUCUUGGUGCUGUAAGCCUUUACUACAGUUCCUCCUGUUGUGGUGACUUCCAAAAUUAAAGUUAUUUCAUUGCUACUUCAUAACUGUAAUUUUGCUACUGUUACAAGUUCGUAACAUAAAUUUCUAAUGUGUGACCCACAGGUUGAGAACUACUACUGUAAAGAGCUAUCAGAACUAUUUUAUAAACUACAGUCAACAACAACAAAAAAAAAUCUUACAAAUGUGUUGUUAUUCAGUAUGUUCUGACGGGGUGAAAAGACACAAAUAUGUCUGUCCAUGUUUCUGACAUCAUGUGCUCAUGACAGACAUAAUUCGUCAAUUUUAUCUUCUGAUAGCAAAAUAAAAAGAAAGGUAUAAUCCUCAAGAGGCCAAGGUCCUGCCUUAUGUCGUCAGAGAUUUGUCUGUCUUUCUGAUAGUUUAAACUGUGUAAUAAACUUGGUGUGUGUGUUUUUUUUUUAAAUAAUAGAUGGAACCAGAGAGAACCCAAAAGAUAAAUUAGUUACUUCAUACAAAUAAACUAUUCUAAAGUGCCAGAUAGCUUUUUAAAAGAUUCACUUCGUGUUUGAAAAUAAAACUCCAAUGACAAUCUGUUUUUCAGAAUUUCUCAGUU